Anas platyrhynchos (mallard) is the source of this 4385-nucleotide non-coding RNA. NCBI's taxonomy places the organism in Eukaryota, Metazoa, Chordata, Aves, Anseriformes, Anatidae. The record is from RefSeq and is a predicted model, not a curated record.
CAUAUGCUGCGUUCUGGCUUUGCUUGUUAGCCAGCAGACAGGAAAAUUUUAUUUUUAGGCAGAUGUGAAAGCCCUAAUUUGUUGCAGCGGGGAAGAGAGAGACUAAUAAUAGAAUGCAAUACAGCCAAUGCCAAAUUAAUUAACAGAGACCAAAACAGGUUAUAGUUUACAAGCCAAAGCUACUAUUUUCCACUUCCCUCGCCUUCUCCUUCUCUCUGCAGUGUAGUAGAGCUAGAGUUGGAAGAGGGACAUCCUAUAGCACCUAGUCAUUGCUGCAGGCAUUUUGCUGUGCCUUUGAGUUUUUAAGGAGUUUGCCUUGACCUUACAAUACUUCAGUGGACAAGACCAGCCGUAAACAAUUUCUUCCACGGCCGCCCAGCCUGGCUCGAGCCUCUUGCUGCUGAACACAUCUCAGCUUGUUGGCAGAUGAAUCAGCAUGGCGGGAAGGGACAAGGAGGAGGAGGAAACGUCAGAGCCUUGGAGAAGGUGCUGAGGCACAGCAGAGUCCCUGCUGCACCCGCGCGCAUCCACCUUCCCGGGCCCAGCCUCCCUCAGCAGGAGGCCGAUGACCUGAAGGGAGACUGAGAAUAGCUCCUGCCUCCCUUUUUACUCUCGGGUGACCACACGUGUUUGCUUGUCAGCUCUUUCCAACUAGGAGCAGGAGCCUAUUUUAAGCCAUCUCUUUCCUCACGCAUACACUGUUGCCAUAGCUGCAAAACUAAUGCACAUGGAAAGAAAGGUUCUUACUCUAUUGACUCAGCAGAGAGGCAUGUUACUGAAUCUCUCUGUUUCUUAACUCAUGUAAGUGAAAGAUAGUGGGCCAGAUCCUUCCCCAGCUGGUGCUAAAAUGGCACAACUCUUUUGGCUUAGUGAGUCCCUAUUAAUUUGCAGCAGCUGACAUACUAGCCCUUUGUUUUCCAUUGCUAUGCUUUCCAGAACUGUUCGUGGCAUGCUGCAAUUAAUUCAGCUUCUCCUCUUGUAUCCUCCCUUGAAAGAUAGUCUGAUGGAGAUGGGAGAAAGCUGUAUUCAGUCUCCUUCUGUCCACCUUCCAUUUGUCUGAGGAGUCAGGGAGUGAAUACAUGCCCAGCAUAUGGUAUCUCUCAGCCUUUAACUUGCAUCAAAUUUCCAGGGUCACAGACAGCAGUUUUGAGAAUAUUUAAGCCAGUCAGCCAUUUGGGAAGUACUCGCAGGAGCGGACCCGUUGAAGGACAACGAAAGCUGCCUCUAAGCUGGAAACAUGGAGCAAAGGCUCCUCUUCAUCCACAUGAGGGAGCUCCGUUAACAUUAAUAGAAACUGCUUAAAAUGCCAUUAUUACAGUGAAAAGUGCAUCUCAGUCAGAAAGAACACAAGGGGAAGCAACAUAAAUUCAUAUUUUGAAGCAGAAUUCGUGAAACGAGACAAGGAGAUUCCUUCCUGGCAACAUCUUCCAAAUUCGAGCAAAUGGCUUUGGCACAUAAAAGUUCAUUUCCAGCUGAAAUGUCCAAGGAGAACCCUGAUAUCUGAAGGUCAUGGUGUAUCUGGAAGGGUCCUUAAGUAACCUUAAUGCACCCUGAAGUGUGUCAGGGCAGGUGACCCCCUAGAGAAAGAGGGAGAUAAAUCACCAUGAGAGCAGCUCCCUCACACAGCCAGGAACACGUUUUGGAAGGAUAACGUGCGCACAAGCUCUGAAGCUGGAGCCUCUCUCCCAUCCCCAAAGACAUGGCUGGUACACAAACUCCACACAUCUCGCCAGCCAUGCGUGAAGACGCCCUGUUCAUCCCUGUGCUCUCAGCCAGGGUGGUCGUCUGUGUGGAAAGCCUAAAGCAAACAAAGGCAAGCUGCAGCCAGAUGUUGGGAGGCUUUCAGGUUCACUUAACGUUCCCGGGGUAGGCAGCGCAUGCAUGCCUGUGCUCCUCGCUCGGACGGAUAAGCCCAAGCAGCCAUACCCUUUAAAACCUUUCCCUUUGCAAUGGAAAUCACUGCUUACCUUUCCAGAACCAUCUGAGCAAAUACGGACCUUGCAGAAAACGUCAGCAAUUCCUGAUCCAUCAAGGCUGUGCUAAACAAACCCGGCCGAACAAUUUACAACUUGACCUCAUGUUGUGCCUGUAAAUGGAUUCUGUGAAAGGCCUUUUCUUAGGUUAGUUAUAUUUUCAUGGUGUAUACACCAGGGUAAAUUAGCCAAUUCGACAGUUCCCCAGAAUCCCCUUGGUUUUGCUUUUUACUGGGGAGGGGUGAUUUUUACAGGACCUUGGGGGAGAUUUCAGAAGGGACUUGUUGCAAAUCCUUGAAGCUCUGCUUUAUCUCCUUAGACAGAAAGCAUUUUCUUUUUUGUCUGGGGCAAGAAAUUUUGCUCUUCUGUGUACUGAAGAAUAUUCUUGAGAAUGACUUCUGAGUGAUUCAUGAUCAGAUGUUGAAAAAAAAUCAACUUAUUUGUAAGUCCCGUGUGAUAGAUUUGGACUGAUUCCUCAAGAAACACAUUUUAGAAGCCCCCUUAAUAUUUGCAUGGAAGAAAUUGUUGUUCUCAACUUGUCCUAUUUCAAAAGGAAAAUCAAUUCUUGUGUUCGAAGCUCCAUCUUGUACCAGAUACAGAAUCUGAGGGAAGCACACCAUCUUCCUCUAAGAAAGAGGAUUUAAUAAGGUAUUUCCUUAGUAAAUCAGGACGACAGUUCUAGAGAGGAAUAAAAGACAUGACACCGAAGGAUAACUAGGGCAAAAAUGUUACACAAACUGCUAGCAUUUUUCUCAUCUUCUGCUGAUGACACUUCCAUGUCAUGUACCCUAACACAAUAAGUUCAGGAUUUGUUUUUGCACAAUAAAUCUCCUAACCCACAUGUGGGAGACUCUGACAUGAUGUUUCUAUAAAUAAUUUAUUGUGAAUGAACAAGAAUGAAUAUAAAUUCCUUCUUCUGUCUAUAUGCACAAAUGCUCCACUACUUUUAGAAGUGACCAGAACCAUCAUUUUUUUUACCUAUAAUAACAUGAAGAAAAGAAUAUGAUAAAAACAGGGAAGACAUGUCUGAUUGAGAAUAAUUUUGGAGCAUUAGUAUUGCUCCAAAAUAGUGUUACAGGAAUAGAUAUCCAGAUCUAAGAUGUUGAUUGAUGUAAGGCUGACGAAGGAGCUCUUUGUAUAUGUAAGAAUUGUUUUGUUUCUAUUCCAUUUCUAUGACCACAUAGACGGGGUGAUAUAGGUAGUGUAAGACUUUUCAGAUGUGUCUUUUCAAAAAGAUCCUGCCAGUACAGACUGGAGUAAUGUAUUGUUCCCACAAGUUUGCCACACUACUUCUUGCGGAGUGUAUCAGACGUGGGGGUUGCCAUUUCUUGUUUUGUGCUGCUUUGUGUUUCAGUACAAGUCAGUGACAGCUAAGUGUUAACUGGAGCUAAGCACCUGCUUCAUUCAGUGGGAAGAAGAGAUCAGGAAGGGAAAAUGAUAGGAAACCACCAAGCACCCUUUCUUUCUGUUAGUGUCGAUUGUCGCGUUUCAUUUCCUCAACUAUGCCAAUAUCACUGCUGAAGUCGUGCCAUAAAUGCCUCUGGUGCUGCCAGGUGUGUCUUAUCCCCAUAGCUGUGAGCACUACGAUGUUGGGUUGGUUUCUGCUGGUCUCUGAGAAGCCCUAGGUAGUAGCUGGGUGCUCAUCGACACUACUGUCCUCCAUCAAGAGGAAAUCUCCUUGUGCCUGAAUGCCUAUGGAGACAUAGUGUGGUAUAGCUGAGUAAUGGUUGUCCUCUAGUCUUCAAUAAUGGUACAAUAUCAAAAAUCAACACAAUCAUUAACAUUAAAGAUUACUUUCAUCGCUGCCAUCUUAGUCACAUGCAUAUUUAGCCACUUAAGUCAUCCUUGAGACUGCUAGGAGCCUUGAUGCAUUUAAGAUUUCCCUCAUCAGAGAUUUCAAAGUCUGCAGCUCUUGAUAAAUAGCAGAGGACCUACCCCAAUGAAUCAGAUCAAGGAAAAAACCUCUACCAUGUCUGAGAGAACAGCAUAUCCAAACAUACUGGGAUGAUUAAGGAAUACCAUUCUUGUUUCUAAAUUAACAUUCACACUAAAAAGUAUAUUUAAAUCACAAAGGAGAAAGAUGACGUAGUUUUUCCUGCAAAGAGAUCAUGAGUUUGGUCUCCCAAUAAUUCAUGCCUGGAUUAUAUUAAAAUUAAACCACUAAUUUCAAAGGCCUUCCUGAAAGACAAUUUAGACUUCUCACACUCCUGGCUAACCAGCUAAUGAGCAUAUAUAUGGCAGAUUUAAACAGGAUUAAGUAGCAUAUUUCUUGUGAGGUCCUCAGAGCUGCAUCAUUUUAUGUUGCUUCCAGAUCUGGUUCAUGAACUACAGUUUGAUGCCAGCAAGAUGACAGUGAAACAUAGAAACAGGUAUCAUAGCCAGAAAAACAGCGCUUUUAAUGCAAAAACAGUA